ACUGCUUUUAGAGGCAAGACAGGUGUGGUAUCAGUAGGUGUAGCAGUAGGUGGCAAGAGAGGAGAGAAGCUAUGUUGAUGCUCAGUGUUCUAACCUGUAAACAUCUGAAUGAUUAACAGCCCCCAAA
Small nucleolar RNA from Arvicanthis niloticus (Nile rat), 127 nucleotides. RefSeq annotates it as small nucleolar RNA SNORA17. The record is from RefSeq and is a predicted model, not a curated record. Lineage: Eukaryota; Metazoa; Chordata; Mammalia; Rodentia; Muridae.